UAGAAUCCAGUGGGGAUCCUAGGCCUUCAAAUUCCUGUUUUUGUAAUUCAAGGUGAUGAUUUUGGUUAGAAGUGGAUGGAUCUGAUGGACUAAUUCUGGAUGUAAUGGUUUUGUAUAAAAUUUAAUUUGUAAAAACUCAAUGAAUAAUUGAGCUACCAUGAUAUGAUCCUCAUGAUACUACUAAGGAGGUCAGCCAUAUAUUUAUUAGCUUCCUCAAACUCAAUACAAAGUGCAUUGAGAGCUGUUACUCCCAACCGUUUGUUUUGUAUUAUAGUCCAAAGAUUAUCU
This 288-nucleotide unclassified non-coding RNA is filed under the name Hevea brasiliensis (rubber tree). The record is from RNAcentral. Lineage: Eukaryota; Viridiplantae; Streptophyta; Magnoliopsida; Malpighiales; Euphorbiaceae.